RNAcentral lists this transfer RNA (56 nucleotides) under Dendronotus frondosus (frond-aeolis). RNAcentral describes it as "tRNA-Ser". The record is from RNAcentral. Lineage: Eukaryota; Metazoa; Mollusca; Gastropoda; Nudibranchia; Dendronotidae.
UAAGAAUUUUAUGUUCAAGCUUCUAACUUGAAUAAGGGGAUUUCCUCCGUUCUUAU